This 253-nucleotide ribosomal RNA is filed under the name uncultured bacterium. RNAcentral's name for it is "partial 16S ribosomal RNA". It matches the Rfam family "Bacterial small subunit ribosomal RNA", at positions 524 to 776 of the family's 1533-position model. The record is from RNAcentral.
UACAGAGGGUGCAAGCGUUAAUCGGAAUUACUGGGCGUAAAGCGCACGUAGGCGGCUUGGUAAGUUGGAUGUGAAAUCCCCGGGCUUAACUUGGGAAUUGCAUUCAAGACUGCCUUGCUGGAGUGUUGGAGAGGAAAGCGGAAUUCCAGGUGUAGCGGUGAAAUGCGUAGAUAUCUGGAGGAACAUCAGUGGCGAAGGCGGCUUUCUGGCCAAACACUGACGCUGAGGUGCGAAAGCGUGGGGAGCAAACAGG